UUCCUGGUGGCUCAGUGGUAAAGCAUCUGCCUGUCAAUGCAGGAGACAUGGGUUCAAUCCCCGGUCCAGGAAG
Non-coding RNA from Dama dama (fallow deer), 73 nucleotides. The record is from the annotation of a RefSeq genome assembly. NCBI's taxonomy places the organism in Eukaryota, Metazoa, Chordata, Mammalia, Artiodactyla, Cervidae.